This 323-nucleotide ribosomal RNA is filed under the name bacterium enrichment culture. RNAcentral describes it as "bacterial SSU rRNA". It matches the Rfam family "Bacterial small subunit ribosomal RNA", at positions 66 to 392 of the family's 1533-position model. The record is from RNAcentral.
ACGGUAACAGGCCGCAAGGNGCUGACGAGUGGCGAACGGGUGAGUAAUGCAUCGGAACGUGCCCAGUCGUGGGGGAUAACUGCUCGAAAGAGCAGCUAAUACCGCAUACGAUCUAUGGAUGAAAGCGGGGGACCGUAAGGNCUCGCGCGAUUGGAGCGGCCGAUGUCAGAUUAGGUAGUUGGUGGGGUAAAGGCUCACCAAGCCAACGAUCUGUAGCUGGUCUGAGAGGACGACCAGCCACACUGGGACUGANACACGGCCCAGACUCCUACGGGAGGCAGCAGUGGGGAAUUUUGGACAAUGGGGGCAACCCUGAUCCAGCA